This 72-nucleotide small nucleolar RNA is filed under the name Haloquadratum walsbyi. Lineage: Archaea; Methanobacteriati; Methanobacteriota; Halobacteria; Halobacteriales; Haloferacaceae. The record is from RNAcentral.
GGCUGAUGACGAUGAUACCGUUCUGAGUUGGAGUGGCAUCCAUCAAUGAUGAACCCUAUGAGUGCCGAGGCC